UACGGAGGGUGCAAGCGUUAAUCGGAAUUACUGGGCGUAAAGCGCACGCAGGCGGUGUUGUAAGACAGACGUGAAAUCCCCGGGCUCAACCUGGGAACUGCAACUGUUACUGGCAAGCUUGAGUGUGUUAGAGGGGGGUGGAAUUCCAGGUGUAGCGGUGAAAUGCGUAGAGAUCUGGAGGAAUACCGGUGGCGAAGGCAGCCCCCUGGACGAAGACUGACGCUCAGGCGCGAAAGCGUGGGGAGCAAACAGG
RNAcentral lists this ribosomal RNA (253 nucleotides) under uncultured bacterium. Its description in RNAcentral is "partial 16S ribosomal RNA". It matches the Rfam family "Bacterial small subunit ribosomal RNA", at positions 524 to 776 of the family's 1533-position model. The record is from RNAcentral.